RNAcentral lists this unclassified non-coding RNA (1925 nucleotides) under Hevea brasiliensis (rubber tree). The record is from RNAcentral. Lineage: Eukaryota; Viridiplantae; Streptophyta; Magnoliopsida; Malpighiales; Euphorbiaceae.
AAAAAUCAUCAAUCUUGAGAAAAAAAAUGACAUUUAUAGACUUAUUAUUACUCUUUUCACUUAUUCCUUUUUUCUUAAUUUUCUUCCUCAAAUUCCAAAAAGCAAGAAAAAACCCCAUUUCAUCAAAUACAAAAAUACCAAAAUCCUAUCCUAUUAUUGGUUCUUAUUUUUCCUUAUUAGCAAAUCAAGAACAAAGAAUCCAAUGGUUAUCUGAUAUUAUCCUUAGCACCCCUAAACUUACUUUUACUCUAAUUCGACCCCUCAAUUUCCACACAAUUAUCACUGCUAAUCCAUCUAACGUUCAGCACAUUCUCAAAACCAAUUUCUCUGUUUAUCAAAAAGGCCAGAACUCAAACAACACUCUUGCUGAUUUCCUCAGUAAUGGCAUUUUCAACGUCGAUGGCGAUAUAUGGAAGUAUCAACGACAAGUUGCUAGCCACGAAUUCAAUACUAGAUCACUACGAAAAUUCGUUGAAUCUGUAGUUGAUGUCGAGGUAUCUGAACGUCUAGUUCCCAUACUCGCGAACGCUGCUGCUGAGAAAAAUGUUGUCGAUCUACAAGACGUGUUGCAAAGGUUCGCAUUUGAUAACAUUUGUAAAAUUGCAUUUGGUUAUGAUCCAAAGUAUUUGUUACCUAACUUACCUGAAGCAGAAUUCGCGGUAGCAUUUGAAGAUUGUGUUCGAUUGAGCAGUGAGAGAUUUGCUGUCCCUUUUCCGUUGAUUUGGAAAAUGAAACGCGCUUUUGGUAUUGGUUCUGAGAAGAAAUUACGAAUUGCAGUUGGAGAAGUGCGUGAGUUUGCGAAGAGAAUAGUGAGGGAGAAGUUGAAUGAGAGAUCGUCGUUGGAUUCAGCUGAUUUGUUGUCGAGAUUUUUGAGUACAGGGCACUCUGAUGAAGAUUUCGUUGUUGAUAUAGUGAUAAGUUUUAUUUUAGCAGGACGCGAUACGACUUCAGCUGCGUUGACAUGGUUUUUCUGGUUGAUUUCGAAGAAUGCAGAUGUGGAAUCUGAAAUAUUGAGAGAAAUUGGGGGAAAAGAAGAGGAUGUUUCAAUGCGAUACGACGAGGUGAAGAACAUGAUGUAUACUCACGCCUCGCUCUGUGAGAGCAUGAGAUUUUAUCCUCCGGUACCAAUGGAUUCGAAAGAAGUCAUGAAAGAUGAUGUAUUGCCCGAUGGGACAUUUGUGAAGAAGGGGAUGAGGGUUACUUAUCAUCCUUACGCAAUGGGAAGAUCGGAGGAGAUUUGGGGAAAAGACUGGGCGGAGUUCAAGCCAGAGAGAUGGUUGAAUAAGGAUGAAAUGACGGGGAAUUGGAUGUUUGUGGGAAAAGAUCCAUUCGCUUAUCCUGUUUUUCAAGCAGGACCGCGAGUUUGCUUAGGGAAAGAAAUGGCGUUUUUGCAAAUGAAGAGGGUGGUGGCUGGUGUUUUGCAGCGGUUUAAGGUGGUUCCGGUGGUGGAGAAAGGGGUGGAGCCGAUGUUUAUAUCGUAUUUGACGGCCAAGAUGAAAGGAGGUUUCCCAGUUACUAUCGAAGAAAGGAUGUAGUUGUUGGGUAUGUAGCAAGAAUUGAUGGGAAAUAGAAGGAAAGAGAGUAAUUUGAAAAGUUGAGAACUUCAAAAUCAAACUUACAGAUAUUAGAGUGGAAUAAUUUCCUUAAGAGGACACUGUGAGUUGAGUGGACUUGAUCUUCUUCCAAACUAAAAGAUUGUAUCAGUUUCUGGUACGUUUGUUUUAAAUAUUUUCUAAAAUAAAUUUCUGUUCAUCUUGCUUACUGAUUCGACAAAUUUCAAUUACUUCGUGUUUCUGAAUAAUUUAUUACAAUCAGUAAUUUUGGUUUUAAUUACACAAUUUGGUAAACAGUAGUAGUAUUAUCAUGGACACAAGUUGAAAAAACAAGUUUAUUGUAUGUGUUCUUAGGUUAUUUGCUUUUUUUAU